GCGCUUGUAGCUCAGCUGGAUAGAGCAACCGCCUCCUAAGCGGUAGGUCGCCGGUUCGAAUCCGGCCUUGCGCACCA
Molecule: transfer RNA, 77 nt
Filed under: Halopseudomonas yangmingensis
Lineage: Bacteria; Pseudomonadati; Pseudomonadota; Gammaproteobacteria; Pseudomonadales; Pseudomonadaceae
Also listed under: 3 other names
Description: tRNA-Arg
Rfam family: tRNA
About the family: Transfer RNA (tRNA) molecules are approximately 80 nucleotides in length. Their secondary structure includes four short double-helical elements and three loops (D, anti-codon, and T loops).
Source: RNAcentral